ACGCCUGUGUCUGUGCUACUCUGGGGCACACGCCCGUGGGCGUUUCUGGGUGCAUCUGCGUGUUUGUAUCUGUCUGAGCCGUGUCCCCGCCUGCUCCCCAUGUCUCUGGCUGGGAAAGGGGACUGGAUGAGGACGCUCCGUUCUGGAGGUGGGGGAGGCAUCGGGUGGCUUGGUAUCCCAGCCGGUCCUGGGGGCGUCAUCCUUGCUCAGACGUUCGCCAAGCACCAUGUGGCAUGUGUGCCAGCAGGCACAGGCUAAGGGCAUUCUGCCCGGCAUGAAAGAAGGCAGAGGAGGCAGGGAGCAAGAAAAGGGGAACUGAGCUCAGAGCUCUGGGGCCGCAGCCUUUCUUCCUAAGGACUUCGUCAUGGGAACAAAUGUGAAGAAAUGAUCCAAGACACAUGCCUUUGUAAAGACCCUCACAACCUGAUGACCAAACUUUCGAACACAAAUAUCCUGAGGGACACAGAAGGCCAGUCUCUUCCGGCUUGCAGUGAGCGAGUGAAGGCUCCCUGACCCUUACGACCAGGCGUUGUAGCCUGUGCCUCAGCCCACCCAUCCAUCUUCCUGGCUGCUGCCCUCACUGACUGCUCCUCUCCAGUCCAUUGAUCCUUCUCCACAUCUGUGCUGCUCCACAACUGGACCCUGAUGGUCUUAGUAUCUGGGCUGGGGACUUCUUCACCCUCAAAGGGUGCUUCUGGAGCCUGGGGCCAAUUCAGAAAACCUUCCUUUCCCUGGGCCCUCUGCCAGCCCCUCCAACCCUUCCUCCAACCAUCCACUGCAAGACAAUGGUGGGCUGGCCCGGCCUUUGUGAGAGGGGUCAGGCCAGUUAAUCUUGGGCUGGGUUAGGGAGGGGCAUUUGGGGGCCAGGAAAGGAGUGGGGGCUGCCGGUGGGGGACACAGCAGCCGGCUGCUGAGAGUUGAGGGCAUUGGAGGCAG
Long non-coding RNA from Mus musculus (house mouse), 936 nucleotides. RefSeq annotates it as predicted gene, 31317. The record is from RefSeq and is a predicted model, not a curated record. The transcript is spliced from 3 exons. Lineage: Eukaryota; Metazoa; Chordata; Mammalia; Rodentia; Muridae.